UACGUAGGGGGCUAGCGUUGUCCGGAUUGAUUGGGCGUAAAGAGCGUGUAGGCGGCCAGGUAGGUCUGCUGUGAAAACUCGAGGCUCAACCUCGAGACGUCGGCGGAAACCAUCUGGCUAGAGUCCGGAAGAGGAGAGUGGAAUUCCUGGUGUAGCGGUGAAAUGCGUAGAUAUCUGGAGGAACACCGGUGGCGAAGGCGGCAUCCUGGACCGACACUGACGCUGAGGAGCGAAAGCCAGGGGAGCAAACGGG
Molecule: ribosomal RNA, 253 nt
Filed under: uncultured bacterium
Lineage: Bacteria
Description: partial 16S ribosomal RNA
Rfam family: Bacterial small subunit ribosomal RNA
Source: RNAcentral